UCUCAUUUUUCCCCUUUAUCUUCCACAUUUUCCCCUCUAUUUUUGCUUUUUCUGCUCUACUUUCGUUUUUUCCCCUCUAUUUUCCCCGUUUCCCCCUCUAUUUUCCACUUUUUCCUCUCUAUUUUCAUUUUUCCCCCCUAUUUUCCACGUUUUCCCCCUAUUUGCCCUCUAUUUGGUCCCCAUUUCCCCGUUAUUUUUUGUUCCGUCUCUCUUUUCCAUACACGUUUUCCCUUUAUUUUCCCUGUUUGCCCUUUUUUUGCCCCAUUUCCCCUUUCCUUGCUUCUCCACCCUUUAAUUUCCCCGUUUCUCCCUUUAUUUACCCUUUUUUUUCCAUGUUUACCCUGUAUUUGCCCUAUUCACUCCUUAUUUCCCAUAUUUAACCCUUUUUUGUCCCUGUUCGCCCUUAAUUUUUUCCAUUUAUCCCUCGUUUUGCACUUUCACUCUGUAAUUUCCACGUUUCCCCUUUAUUUUUCCCCAUUUCCCCUUAUUUUCCCUAUUUACCCUUAUUUCUGCUCCUGUUUACCCAUUAUUUUCACUUUUCACCCGUGAUUUUCCCUAUUUACUCUUUAUUUUUAGGCCGUAUUUUCUGUUUUUCCUCUUUCCUGUUUUCUUUUUCUUUACCUUUUUUAUGUUUUUGUCUUUUUUCCCUAAUUGUGUACUUUUUAGUUUCUUUUUCCUGUUUUAUCUUCUUAUUUACUUUCCUUUGUUUUUUUGUUUCCUUUUUCA
RNAcentral lists this long non-coding RNA (726 nucleotides) under Anas platyrhynchos platyrhynchos (common mallard). Its description in RNAcentral is "lncRNA (ENSAPLG00000020202.1)". Lineage: Eukaryota; Metazoa; Chordata; Aves; Anseriformes; Anatidae. The record is from RNAcentral.